UUAUGUGAUCGUCUCUCGCAUAUCAAUAAGCGGAGGAAAAGAAACUAACAAGGAUUCCCCUAGUAACGGCGAGUGAAGCGGGAAGAGCUCAAAUUUGAAAUCUUAAAGGGUUUCCCUUUACGAAUUGUAGUUUAAAGAAGUGUUUUCUGUUGAGGUUUUUGGUAAAAGUUCUUUGGAAUAGGACAUCAUAGAGGGUGAGAAUCCCGUAUUUGACCUUUACUUUCAACUUUGUGAUACACUUUCAAAGAGUCGGAUUGUUUGGGAAUGCAGUCCAAAAUGGGUGGUAAAUUUCAUCUAAAGCUAAAUAUUGGCGAGAGACCGAUAGCGAACAAGUACCGUGAGGGAAAGAUGAAAAGAACUUUGAAAAGAGAGUUAAACAGUACGUGAAAUUGUCAAAAGGGAAGCGUUUGACACCAGUGUUGUUUUUUCUGAAAAUCAAUUAAAGAACUGUUUAUGCUAAGCUGUUUAGACUUUAUCAGCUAUCUGUUUAGUUUUGAGCUUUUCUUUAAUGCACUUUUCAGUUAACAAGUCAACAUCAAUUUCUUUUGCUGUAAAAAAGCUUGAGGAAGGUGGCUUGAGAUUCGUCUUAAGUGUUUAUAGCCUCUUGCCUAUGCAGUCGGAGAGAUUGAGGUCUGCAGCGUAGAUCCUUCGGGGCUAAAUGCAUUUGUGCUAAGUUAUAGCAUUUUAUAGACAACUUGUUGACUAUGAUUUGUCUUGUAGCUUACUCGCUUAUGUUAUUUUACCUACGCUUAGGAUGUUGAGCGCAUGUCUCUCUCU
Molecule: ribosomal RNA, 777 nt
Filed under: uncultured Neocallimastigales
Lineage: Eukaryota; Fungi; Neocallimastigomycota; Neocallimastigomycetes; Neocallimastigales
Description: partial large subunit ribosomal RNA
Rfam family: Eukaryotic large subunit ribosomal RNA
Source: RNAcentral